AUUGAACGCUGGCGGCAGGCCUAACACAUGCAAGUCGAACGGUAACAGGAAGAAGCUUGCUUCUUUGCUGACGAGUGGCGGACGGGUGAGUAAUGUCUGGGAAACUGCCUGAUGGAGGGGGAUAACUACUGGAAACGGUAGCUAAUACCGCAUAACGUCGCAAGACCAAAGAGGGGGACCUUCGGGCCUCUUGCCAUCGGAUGUGCCCAGAUGGGAUUAGCUAGUAGGUGGGGUAACGGCUCACCUAGGCGACGAUCCCUAGCUGGUCUGAGAGGAUGACCAGCCACACUGGAACUGAGACACGGUCCAGACUCCUACGGGAGGCAGCAGUGGGGAAUAUUGCACAAUGGGCGCAAGCCUGAUGCAGCCAUGCCGCGUGUAUGAAGAAGGCCUUCGGGUUGUAAAGUACUUUCAGCGGGGAGGAAGGGAGUAAAGUUAUUACCUUUGCUCAUUGACGUUACCCGCAGAAGAAGCACCGGCUAACUCCGUG
Molecule: ribosomal RNA, 490 nt
Filed under: uncultured bacterium
Lineage: Bacteria
Description: partial 16S ribosomal RNA
Rfam family: Bacterial small subunit ribosomal RNA
Source: RNAcentral